Molecule: ribosomal RNA, 467 nt
Filed under: uncultured bacterium
Lineage: Bacteria
Description: partial 16S ribosomal RNA
Rfam family: Bacterial small subunit ribosomal RNA
Source: RNAcentral
GACGAACGCUGGCGGCGUGCUUAACACAUGCAAGUCGAACGGAAAGGCCCUGCUUUUGUGGGGUGCUCGAGUGGCGAACGGGUGAGUAACACGUGAGUAACCUGUCCUUGACUUUGGGAUAACUUCAGGAAACUGGGGCUAAUACCGGAUAGGAGCUCCUGCUGCAUGGUGGGGGUUGGAAAGUUUCGGCGGUUGGGGAUGGACUCGCGGCUUAUCAGCUUGUUGGUGGGGUAGUGGCUUACCAAGGCUUUGACGGGUAGCCGGCCUGAGAGGGUGACCGGCCACAUUGGGACUGAGAUACGGCCCAGACUCCUACGGGAGGCAGCAGGGGGGAAUAUUGCACAAUGGGCGGAAGCCUGAUGCAGCAACGCCGCGUGCGGGAUGACGGCCUUCGGGUUGUAAACCGCUUUCGCCUGUGACGAAGCGUGAGUGGCGGUAAUGGGUAAAGGAGCACCGGCUAACUACGU